AUUAAAUAGAGUUUGAUCCUAGCUCAGGAUGAACGCUGGCGGCGUGGAUAAGGCAUGCAAGUUGAACGGAACUAAUCCGACGGAAGUGUUGAUCGAAGUUGAUAAGUAUUUAUACAAGUUAACCUAGUGAUAUAUGGAAGACGGACAGUUUAGUAGCAAACGAGGUAGUAAUAUUUAGGAACGCACCCCAGAGUCUCGAAUAGCCCACCGAAAGGUGGAGUAAUACGGGAUGGUACCGCAAGGUUAAAGAUUUAUCGCUCUGGGAGCGGCUUAAACAGUAUCAGCUAGUUGGUAAGGUAAUGGCUUACCAAGGCUAUGACGCUUAGGAGAGGUGAGAGCCUGACCUCCACCGAUG
This 355-nucleotide ribosomal RNA is filed under the name Minisyncoccota bacterium. Its description in RNAcentral is "bacterial SSU rRNA". It matches the Rfam family "Bacterial small subunit ribosomal RNA", at positions 1 to 315 of the family's 1533-position model. The record is from RNAcentral. Lineage: Bacteria; Bacillati; Minisyncoccota.